RNAcentral lists this ribosomal RNA (460 nucleotides) under uncultured bacterium. RNAcentral's name for it is "partial 16S ribosomal RNA". It matches the Rfam family "Bacterial small subunit ribosomal RNA", at positions 338 to 795 of the family's 1533-position model. The record is from RNAcentral.
CCUACGGGAGGCAGCAGUGAGGAAUAUUGGUCAAUGGGCGCGAGUCUGAACCAGCCAUGCCGCGUGCAGGAUGACUGCUCUAUGAGUUGUAAACUUCUUUUAUACAAGAGUAAACUCAGGCACGCGUGUCUUUUUGUAUGUACCUUAUGAAUAAGGAUCGGCUAACUCCGUGCCAGCAGCCGCGGUAAUACGGAGGAUCCGAGCGUUAUCCGGAUUUAUUGGGUUUAAAGGGAGCGUAGAUGGUUUGUUAAGUCAGUGGUGAAAGUUUGAGGCUCAACUGUAGAAUUGCAAUUGAUACUGGCAGCCUAGAGAACAGUUGAGGUAGGCGGAAUGCGUGGUGUAGCGGUGAAAUGCUUAGAUAUCACGAAGAACACCGAUUGCGAAGGCAGCUUACUAAGCUGCCACUGACAUUGAGGCACGAAAGCGUGGGUAGCAAACAGGAUUAGAUACCCGAGUAGUC